This 497-nucleotide ribosomal RNA is filed under the name uncultured bacterium. Its description in RNAcentral is "partial 16S ribosomal RNA". It matches the Rfam family "Bacterial small subunit ribosomal RNA", at positions 28 to 507 of the family's 1533-position model. The record is from RNAcentral.
GAUGAACGCUGGCGGCGUGCCUAAUACAUGCAAGUCGAGCGAACAGACGAGGAGCUUGCUCCUCUGACGUUAGCGGCGGACGGGUGAGUAACACGUGGAUAACCUACCUAUAAGACUGGGAUAACUUCGGGAAACCGGAGCUAAUACCGGAUAAUAUAUUGAACCGCAUGGUUCAAUAGUGAAAGACGGUUUUGCGGUCACUUAUAGAUGGAUCCGCGCCGCAUUAGCUAGUUGGUAAGGUAACGGCUUACCAAGGCAACGAUGCGUAGCCGACCUGAGAGGGGGAUCGGCCACACUGGAACUUAGCCACGGUCCAGACUCCUACGGGAGGCAGCAGUAGGGAAUCUUCCGCAAUGGGCGAAAGCCUGACGGAGCAACGCCGCGUGAGUGAUGAAGGUCUUCGGAUCGUAAAACUCUGUUAUUAGGGAAGAACAAAUGUGUAAGUAACUAUGCACGUCUUGACGGUACCUAAUCAGAAAGCCCCGGCUAACUACGUG